This 473-nucleotide ribosomal RNA is filed under the name Gnathophis nystromi nystromi. Its description in RNAcentral is "partial 16S ribosomal RNA". It matches the Rfam family "Bacterial large subunit ribosomal RNA", at positions 1998 to 2597 of the family's 2925-position model. Lineage: Eukaryota; Metazoa; Chordata; Actinopteri; Anguilliformes; Congridae. The record is from RNAcentral.
GGCAUAACGAGGGUUUAACUGUCUCCUUCCCCCAGUCAAUGAAAUUGAUCUGCCCGUGCAGAAGCGGACAUAAAAACAUAAGACGAGAAGACCCUAUGGAGCUUUAGGCCAAGGACCAAUCAUGUUAAGAGACUACAAAACCAAAAAGAACAAAAAAGUCAACAAACCAAAUGCAACCUCGUCCAAGUGCCUUCGGUUGGGGCGACCACGGGGAAAAAAGAAACCCCCACAUGGAAUGGAAAUUAUUUCCUUAAACCAAGAAAAACAAUUCUAAGCAACAGAACAUCUGACCAAUAUAUGACCCAGGAAAACACAUCCUGAUCAAUGAACCAAGUUACCCUAGGGGAUAACAGCGCAAUCCUUUCCCAGAGCCCAUAUCGACGAAAGGGUUUACGACCUCGGAUGUUGGAUCAGGGACAUCCUAAUGGUGCAGCCGCUAUUAAGGGUUCGUUUGUUCAACGAUUAACAGUCCU